AGCGCAACCCUUGUCCUUAGUUACCAGCACCUCGGGUGGGCACUCUAAGGAGACUGCCGGUGACAAACCGGAGGAAGGUGGGGAUGACGUCAAGUCAUCAUGGCCCUUACGGCCAGGGCUACACACGUGCUACAAUGGUCGGUACAAAGGGUUGCCAAGCCGCGAGGUGGAGCUAAUCCCAUAAAACCGAUCGUAGUCCGGAUCGCAGUCUGCAACUCGACUGCGUGAAGUCGGAAUCGCUAGUAAUCGUGAAUCAGAAUGUCACGGUGAAUACGUUCCCGGGCCUUGUACACACCGCCCGUCACACCAUGGGAGUGGGUUGCUCCAGAAGUAGCUAGUC
RNAcentral lists this ribosomal RNA (340 nucleotides) under Pseudomonas sp. RNAcentral describes it as "bacterial SSU rRNA". It matches the Rfam family "Bacterial small subunit ribosomal RNA", at positions 1095 to 1435 of the family's 1533-position model. The record is from RNAcentral. Lineage: Bacteria; Pseudomonadati; Pseudomonadota; Gammaproteobacteria; Pseudomonadales; Pseudomonadaceae.